AAGGUAUGGAUUGUGAUGGUAUUUCUUCUUCAGGGAGUUAGUUUAUCAAUGUCUUUUUUUCCAUGCUUCCUUUCACUUGUAUGCUCAUGCAAUCUUCCCAAGCGUAGGAUGCACAUAUUGUAAUUGUCUUUGUUAGGUUUGUGUGUGCUAAGAUGCAUGAGCGUGGUAGUUUUGAGCAUUUACAAUUUUCUAACUAUUAAAUUUGUUAUCAGAGUCUACUUUAUCUAGGAACUAUAUAUGCAUACACUAGUGUGAAUCCUGCCUUCCCACAUGAUUCCUCUGUUUUACUUAUACAGCUUUAGUAAUGAUUUAAGCUAAAUAGUGUAGCACUUGUCUUUUAGCAAAUCUGGAGAAAUUCUCAGAAUUUUUGGUUUCCUUCAUUUGAGGGUGUGUAAUAUGGAAUGAAGAUUGUAAAGCAAG
RNAcentral lists this unclassified non-coding RNA (420 nucleotides) under Hevea brasiliensis (rubber tree). The record is from RNAcentral. Lineage: Eukaryota; Viridiplantae; Streptophyta; Magnoliopsida; Malpighiales; Euphorbiaceae.